GUAGGUGAACCUGCGGAAGGAUCAUUAAUGUUACGGGCCGCGGUUUAACACCCGUGGAACCGGUUAACCCCAUGUUGUCUAUCACCUUGUUUCUUUGGCGGGUUCAUCCGUCAGAAGACAUCUCAAACCCUUGAAUCUGUCGUCUGAAUGAAAUAUCAAAUAAAGCAAAACUUUCAACAACGGAUCUCUUGGUUCUGGCAUCGAUGAAGAACGCAGCAUCUGACUGACUACGUGGUUACGUAUCUCGUAU
RNAcentral lists this unclassified non-coding RNA (250 nucleotides) under plant metagenome. RNAcentral's name for it is "partial contains small subunit ribosomal RNA, internal transcribed spacer 1, and 5.8S ribosomal RNA". The record is from RNAcentral.